UACAGAGGGGGCAAGCGUUGUUCGGAAUUACUGGGCGUAAAGGGCGCGUAGGCGGCCUUCUAAGUCGAACGUGAAAUCCCCGGGCUCAACCCGGGAACUGCGUCCGAUACUGGAAGGCUUGAAUCCGGGAGAGGGAUGCGGAAUUCCAGGUGUAGCGGUGAAAUGCGUAGAUAUCUGGAGGAACACCGGUGGCGAAGGCGGCAUCCUGGACCGGUAUUGACGCUGAGGCGCGAAAGCCAGGGGAGUAAACGGG
RNAcentral lists this ribosomal RNA (253 nucleotides) under uncultured bacterium. RNAcentral's name for it is "partial 16S ribosomal RNA". It matches the Rfam family "Bacterial small subunit ribosomal RNA", at positions 524 to 776 of the family's 1533-position model. The record is from RNAcentral.